UCGACGCUACGGACGAUGCCUGCAUGGAGC
RNAcentral lists this non-coding RNA (30 nucleotides) under Mus musculus (house mouse). Lineage: Eukaryota; Metazoa; Chordata; Mammalia; Rodentia; Muridae. The record is from RNAcentral.